Long non-coding RNA from Prionailurus viverrinus (fishing cat), 1670 nucleotides. RefSeq lists it as uncharacterized. The transcript is spliced from 3 exons. The record is from RefSeq and is a predicted model, not a curated record. Lineage: Eukaryota; Metazoa; Chordata; Mammalia; Carnivora; Felidae.
ACCCGGGUCCUUGGGGCCUGGUGGGUGUUGCGGAGGCUCCCUGGCGGGUAUGGUUGCCAUGGAAACCCGCGCGCGCGCGCCCGUGUCCGGAGGUUCGGGGGUGUUCUACUCUCCGCCAGCCUAUAGCCCCGGAGCGGCCGAGGGACUUGUCCUAACUGGCCCCGGGAACGCCGAGAACAGCGUUGGCUGCGACGCUGAGCUAGUCCCGCCACAGACGUGGGGAAGGAGUCUCCGGGGAGCGCGCAGGGGUCGGGAGGGGGCCCCUCGGGAGUGGUUUCGGCGGGACCAGUGCUCAGCUUGCGGGAACAGGCGUUUGGAGGUUUGAGUAGGCUCAUCAAACGCUGUGCCGGGACCUGCCUCUUUGGUACUGAUGAUGCCCUGACUCGGGAGCCUCUGGCCUGGCCGGGGUCGUUGACACCGUGAGUGGGGCUGGAGGAGGUGGGGGUGGGGCCCGGAGCGAGACGCCGGGCCCCGGGGUCCCGGAAUGCGCGCCAAGCUGGGGACUUUGCACUUGCAAGGUGGCUCUACUGAGCAAACUGUGCAGUUAGCUGCACUUGGCUAACAAGUUAGCAGGAGAAGUUGCACAUGCCCCCAGCCACACCCACUGUGCCUGGGCCUCGCCAAGCCCCCCGCAGAACUAAAACCUGAAAAAAUCCGCCCAUCGGCCUCCCUAUUAUCAGUAUUUACGGGAAGUUAAGGGUGCACCUGCUCCAGAAACUGGAAGAGAAAAACCGGCAUGUCCCGGAUAACAACAUGGAGAGGAUGUGGAAAAAUUGGAGCCCUCGUGUAUUGCUGGUGGGAAUGUAAAAUGGGGCAGCUGCCUUGGAAAACAGUUUGAAAGUUACUGAGAAAGUUAAACAUAGAAUUACCAUAGGACACAACCAUCCCACAUCCUGGGCGUGCGCCCAAAGAGAACUGAAAACCUAUGUCCUAUGAAAACUUGUAUGUGAUUGUUAACAGAAGCAUCAUUUGUAACAUUCAAGAAGUGAAAACAGCCCAAACAUCUAUCAACUGCUGGAUGGAUAAAUGAAACAUGGGAGGCGCACGCAAUGCAAUAGUACUUGACCGUCAAAAGCAGUGAAGGGCCGGUGCUCGCCACAAUGUGGAGAAACCUUGGCAACGUGCCAGGUGGAAAGAAACCAGAGACAAAGGCCUCAUCCUGUGUGGUUCCAUCUGCACACAAUGUCCAGAACAGGCAAAUCUGUAGACACAAGUCCGUUUGGGAGAGGUCAAUGAAGAGUGACUGAUCUGGGUACAGGGCUUCUUUUUAGAUUGAUGAAUUGUUCUGGAAUUACAUAGUGGUGGCAGCUAAACUCGUGAAUGUCCUAAAAACAACUGAACUGCAUUUUACAGCAUGUGAAUUAUACCUUUAGAAAAUGCACAGGCACACUAGAACAAAGGAAGAACACGAACAUGUUAUAAGCAGCCGUUCCUAGGUGAAGGGAUUAUGGGUGCAAAAGGUGAUUUUAUUAAAGCACAGGGAGGACCCUGGGCAGGAAGAGCUGCCUUUUUUUUCAAUUUUUAGAGUGCAGUCCUUCCAGAGACCUCUGUGGAAAAGCAGUGGGACCGGUCCUGCAACGGAUGGCGUGGGAGGCCCCGCAAGCCCCCGCCCCCAACUCCCCGCCUCGGAAAGAGACUUUGAGAAAUCGGGACUCCGCCCCCUGCGCCCC